AGGGGUAUAGCUCAGUUGGUAGAGCAAUGGUCUCCAAAACCAUGUGCCGAGGGUUCAAGUCCUUCUGCCCCUGCCA
RNAcentral lists this transfer RNA (76 nucleotides) under Anaerofustis stercorihominis. RNAcentral's name for it is "tRNA-Trp". It matches the Rfam family "tRNA". Rfam says of the family: Transfer RNA (tRNA) molecules are approximately 80 nucleotides in length. Their secondary structure includes four short double-helical elements and three loops (D, anti-codon, and T loops). The record is from RNAcentral. RNAcentral also lists the same sequence under 2 other names. Lineage: Bacteria; Bacillati; Bacillota; Clostridia; Eubacteriales; Eubacteriaceae.